Molecule: ribosomal RNA, 443 nt
Filed under: Herbaspirillum huttiense
Lineage: Bacteria; Pseudomonadati; Pseudomonadota; Betaproteobacteria; Burkholderiales; Oxalobacteraceae
Description: bacterial SSU rRNA
Rfam family: Bacterial small subunit ribosomal RNA
Source: RNAcentral
AGAGAUUUGGGAGUGCUCGAAAGAGAACCAUCACACAGGUGCUGCAUGGCUGUCGUCAGCUCGUGUCGUGAGAUGUUGGGUUAAGUCCCGCAACGAGCGCAACCCUUGUCAUUAGUUGCUACGAAAGGGCACUCUAAUGAGACUGCCGGUGACAAACCGGAGGAAGGUGGGGAUGACGUCAAGUCCUCAUGGCCCUUAUGGGUAGGGCUUCACACGUCAUACAAUGGUACAUACAGAGGGCCGCCAACCCGCGAGGGGGAGCUAAUCCCAGAAAGUGUAUCGUAGUCCGGAUUGGAGUCUGCAACUCGACUCCAUGAAGUUGGAAUCGCUAGUAAUCGCGGAUCAGCAUGUCGCGGUGAAUACGUUCCCGGGUCUUGUACACACCGCCCGUCACACCAUGGGAGCGGGUUUUACCAGAAGUGGGUAGCCUAACCGCAAGGAGG